This 527-nucleotide ribosomal RNA is filed under the name uncultured bacterium. RNAcentral describes it as "bacterial SSU rRNA". It matches the Rfam family "Bacterial small subunit ribosomal RNA", at positions 19 to 518 of the family's 1533-position model. The record is from RNAcentral.
AUGGCUCAGGACGAACGCUGGCGGCGUGCCUAAUACAUGCAAGUCGAACGGUCUUUCUAUGGAAGCUUGCUUCCACUGAGAAGAUAGUGGCGAACGGGUGAGUAACACGUGGGUAACCUGCCCAUAAGAGGGGGGAUAACAUCCGGAAACGGGUGCUAAUACCGCAUAGUUUUCUUGAUUGCAUGAUCGGGAAAGGAAAGACGGCCUUUGUGCUGUCGCUUAUGGAUGGACCCGCGGCGUAUUAGUUAGUUGGUGAGGUAACGGCUCACCAAGACGAUGAUACGUAGCCGACCUGAGAGGGUGAUCGGCCACAUUGGGACUGAGACACGGCCCAAACUCCUACGGGAGGCAGCAGUAGGGAAUCUUCCGCAAUGGACGAAAGUCUGACGGAGCAACGCCGCGUGAGUGAAGAAAGGUUUUCGGAUCGUAAAACUCUGUUGUCAGAGAAGAACAAGUUGGAGAGUAACUGCUCCAGCCUUGACGGUAUCUGACCAGAAAGCCACGGCUAACUACGUGCCAGCAGCGGC